AUGAACGCUGGCGGCGUGCCUAAUACCUGCCAGUCGAGCGAACAGACGAGGAGCUUGCUCCUCUGACGUUAGCGGCGGACGGGUGAGUAACACGUGGAUAACCUACCUAUAAGACUGGGAUAACUUCGGGAAACCGGAGCUAAUACCGGAUAAUAUAUUGAACCGCAUGGUUCAAUAGUGAAAGACGGUUUUGCUGUCACUUAUAGAUGGAUCCGCGCCGCAUUAGCUAGUUGGUAAGGUAACGGCUUACCAAGGCAACGAUGCGUAGCCGACCUGAGAGGGUGAUCGGCCACACUGGAACUGAGACACGGUCCAUACUCCUACGGGAGGCAGCAGUAGGGAAUCUUCCGCAAUGGGCGAAAGCCUGACGGAGCAACGCCGCGUGAGUGAUGAAGGUCUUCGGAUCGUAAAACUCUGUUAUUAGGGAAGAACAAAUGUGUAAGUAACUAUGCACGUCUUGACGGUACCUAAUCAGAAAGCCACGGCUAACUACGUG
Molecule: ribosomal RNA, 496 nt
Filed under: uncultured bacterium
Lineage: Bacteria
Description: partial 16S ribosomal RNA
Rfam family: Bacterial small subunit ribosomal RNA
Source: RNAcentral